GACGAACGCUGGCGGCGUGCCUAAUACAUGCAAGUAGAACGCUGAAGACUUUAGCUUGCUAAAGUUGGAAGAGUUGCGAACGGGUGAGUAACGCGUAGGUAACCUGCCUACUAGCGGGGGAUAACUAUUGGAAACGAUAGCUAAUACCGCAUAACAGCCUUUUACCAAUGUUAGAUGCUUGAAAGGAGCAAUUGCUUCACUAGUAGAUGGACCUGCGUUGUAUUUGCUAGUUGGUGAGGUAACGGCUCACCAAGGCGACGAUACAUAGCCGACCUGAGAGGGUGAUCGGCCACACUGGGACUGGGACACGGCCCAGACUCCUACGGGAGGCAGCAGUAGGGAAUCUUCGGCAAUGGGGGCAACCCUGACCGAGCAACGCCGCGUGAGUGAAGAAGGUUUUCGGAUCGUAAAGCUCUGUUGUAAGAGAAGAACGUGUGUGAGAGUGGAAAGUUCACACAGUGACGGUAACUUACCAGAAAGGGACGGCUAACUACGUGCCAGCAGCCGCCGUAA
RNAcentral lists this ribosomal RNA (513 nucleotides) under uncultured bacterium. RNAcentral describes it as "partial 16S ribosomal RNA". It matches the Rfam family "Bacterial small subunit ribosomal RNA", at positions 28 to 523 of the family's 1533-position model. The record is from RNAcentral.